CAGUCUAAGAGAGCUGCAUUCAUUUCUGGUCAGGCCACAGAUGCAGGUUACCAAGCAAAUGUUUCAUUGUCCCCUAGGAGCCAGCACUCUAACUUUUGUCAUAAGAAAAUGAUGCACACAGAAGCAACCUAUAUGCUGUGCUCUGUUAUCUACUGAUGCCUGUGUUCUCCUCAACACUGUGGCAGUCAACUAUCUGGAGGGAUAUGGAGCUUAGUGGGAAGCUGCCACAUCUUCACUUUUGCUUCAAUAAGGUUCUAACCAUGAAAACUGCACUCCAACUAGAGAGAAUAAUUUCCAUUCUCAAACUCUGGAG
Molecule: long non-coding RNA, 313 nt
Organism: Homo sapiens (human)
Lineage: Eukaryota; Metazoa; Chordata; Mammalia; Primates; Hominidae
Exons: 3
Source: RefSeq, a predicted model, not a curated record